UACAGAGGUCCCGAGCGUUGUUCGGAUUCAUUGGGCGUAAAGGGCGCGUAGGUGGCUCGGCACGUCCGUUGUGAAAUCGCUCGGCUCAACUGGGCGAGGUCAGCGGAUACGGUCGAGCUUGAGCCAGCUAGGGGGCAAUGGAAUUCCCGGUGUAGUGGUGGAAUGCGUAGAUAUCGGGAGGAACACCAGUGGCGAAGGCGGUUGCCUGGGGCUGUGCUGACGCUGAUGCGCGAAAGCGUGGGGAGCGAUCCGG
This 253-nucleotide ribosomal RNA is filed under the name uncultured bacterium. RNAcentral describes it as "partial 16S ribosomal RNA". It matches the Rfam family "Bacterial small subunit ribosomal RNA", at positions 524 to 776 of the family's 1533-position model. The record is from RNAcentral.